GCGUGAUUCAUUACGCCAAUGGCGGCGAGCUUUACACCACUCCAGCCGACGCUUGGCAUUGCGCAUUGUGAUCUUAGGCUUGUAUGCGGCUGCUCGCCCAUGAAACCCAUUUCAUGAAGCUCCCGACGAAACAGUUUUUGUGCUGACAUUGAUUCCAGAGGCAGUUUGGAACUCGGUAGUUAUUGUUACAACCAAGGACAGACAAUUUUUACGCUCUACAUGCUUCAGCACUCAAGGGUCCCGUUCCUUGAGCUUGUAUGGCCUACCACUUCGCAGCUGAGCCAUUGUUGCUCCUAGACGAUUCCACUUCACAAUAACAGCGCUUACAGUUGACGGGGGCAGCUCUAGCAUGGCAGAAAUUUGACGAACUAACCUGUUGGAAAGGUGGUAUCUUGUGACGGUGCCACAAUGAAAGUCACUGAGCUCUUCAGUAAGGCCAUUCUACUGCCAAUGUUUGUUUAUGGAGAUUGCAUGGCUGUGUCCUUAGACACCCGUCACCAACGUGUGUGCCUGAAAUAGCUGAAUCCACUAAUUUCAAGGUGUGUCCGCAUACUUUUUUAUAUAUAGUGCAUGUUGUUAAGCAGGUUUGUAGCUGGGAAUCCACUAAACAAACAUUCCUCUUUUCCUCCUGAUACAGAUUAUAUGAUCAGGUUGUAUUUGCUAAAUUAUUUUGGAACAAUGCUUUGAAACAAAGUCCAGUAUUCGAAUACAUUUUUUGAUUUACUAUCCACUGUCUGUUAUGGAUUAAAAACCCGGUCAAUAACCUCAAAGAUCCAUUAAACCAUCAAAACAGACAGUCCAUUGUGUUCAUUUCAUAGCGGUACUUCUGGACCGAGCCUCGCGAGAGUUUGGUGUCAGAAACUUUUGAAGACUGGGAUUACUUCAUUACCUUUACUAACCACAAGAGGGCAAUAUGUUCUUUAUUUUUUAUUUUUUAUGUACCACACUUAUUUAUUGAAGUCCUGUAUAUAGGCUGGGCAGAGUUGAUUGAACCGAUGUUAAUGAUUGGGUAUGACUUUAGAUUUUAGGAUGAAUAUAGAUGGUCAGUAAUAGGUAUUGAUUGUGCAGUUAUAGUUUACUGGACUGUUCUCCUUAUAUCUGGUUGAAGCACAUGAGCAAUCAGAGCAGGGAUGUAACUAUACCUGCCCCAGUACCCGUGCGUUAGAGAUGACGACGAUACCUCUAACGCACAGAUACUAGUGUACCUGCGAUCUUAUUCAAAAACUCUCAUGAUCUUAUAGGACGAUAGUUCCAGCUCAACUGCGACAUUAUGGUAUGUAAUUUAGUGUAUCACCUUUUAUGUUGUUUUGCAUCGCACUCAACAUUUGCGGCAAAAGCCCAAAACAUGGGCCUUACAACCCCCAGAACUUCCAUUAAGAUUCAGUACUUUCAAUGAGUAGGCCUGAAUCAGGGGUGCGUUUACCAGUGCGUAAAAUACUCAUAACAUUGUUACGUCAUAAUUGAUGAGGUUUAAAACUGUACAGAAAAACUGGUUGGCUCAUUCUUAUCUUCGUUGUUGACUGGACGACCUAGUGUUAAUCAUUAGAUGCGCAUUCACUUAUUUUACAAGGAAAAGACACGGAGAGUAAAGUGUCUGAGGUAUGUUACUUUAUAUUCAAUACUGUAGUUAUUGUAAAUGAGAAGAAGCAUUGUACAGAUUUUACAGCAGAAUAACAUCCAAUUGUAUUAAUUUAUGUGGGUUAAAAUGUAGCCUAUAGGCUGUCAUUGACCAAAACAUUUAAGUAAUAGACCAGUCAUAGGCUACUGUAAAGAUAGGCUAGAUGAAGCAUGUAGGCCUUCUUUCUAAUGACUUCAGGGGGUCAAAGGCUAUGACCCUUAGGUUGGGUGCAAGCAAAGAUGACCAAUUAUAUUGACAAGAUAGUCGAGUGGCCUCUAUAACAAUGGAAAUGCAUGUCCUGGAUGGCAGGCGGGAGGGGGUGAGAUCAGGUACGACCAUUCUAGCCAAAGACAGGCCAGAUGCAUGUGUGAACAACAGGCACAACUCCAAUAUAAAGUAGAUUAUUUUCAAAAGUUGCUGAAAUGCCACGAGUGUCCGCUUAUAUCAGUGCAUUCCGAACAACCUAACCAUUCCAAAACUUCUAUUCGAUCAAAUAAGCAUCACUCAGCAAGUUAGAGAUUACAUUUUUUGUUGACUGAAUUUGAUACAAAUAUUCUUCACUUCGUGGUCUUAUUUUUGUGAUCAAAUUUUGGGUGGAGUAAACCCUCGCUUUGCCUCUUCCUCUCUGGUGAAAGAGUUGCAAUAGGUCACCUUCACUAUAGAUAAGAUGUGACCAACGAGAUGGCUAAAGGUGAGGCAUGUACAUGACUUUCUGAUGUCUUUCAGAGGUCAAAAGUGAUGACCUCACCCUCAUAUAUAUUAGACUCACAGCCUCUUGAGGACCCUAUCAAUAAUGCUGAUGACAUGCAGGAUGAAGUCAGAUAUGAAAAAGAUCAGCCUGAUACUGGGAGCCUGGCCCAGUUCUUUGCUGAUCAAGAAAUAGCCAGCCCAACUCAGUCAAUAGCGGCUGAACCGGAGGCAGAGAUGCAGGAGGCUGAUCUGAAGUCAGCUGAACCAACCCAGUCACUCGAGGCUGAAAUAGAGAGUGGGAUGCAGGCUGAUCUAGAGACACCCGGCCCAUCCCAUGUACAGGAGCCACACCAGACUUCUCUACUCAACUCUGGAGACCUGAAACUGGAGGAUACUGAUGUGACCUUCACCACCAUGCCCACGGCCCCCCAGGCUGCAACGUCCCAGAACAGCCUUGUCAGGCUGCAAAGAAGCUCCCCAGACCUCUCCACCUUUGUGCAGGACAUGACUGACAACCACUGGAAUCUGUUGAGUGAGAAUAUGCGUGCCAAGUUAACUAGAGAUGAGUUUACUGCCAAGUGCAUGGACAUUGUCACAUGGGUGAAGAAGAUCAAAUCGACAGUUGUGGUUCCCGCCCUUGACCUCACCAUGCAGAUAGAGCUGACUGAGUUGCCAGGCUCUCCUGGAUCAGGAAGUGAGGAGGCAGUAACUUCUCUCUCCCGCACUGUGAGAUUAAGUUGUACUCAAGGCCCCAGCAGGAACACCAGUUCUAAAACUUCCUGGAGCACACCGACACCCACACCUUUCCCCUCCAGUCACAGGUCCAUGACCUCUUUGCUGAGUGAAGAGGAUGAUAAAGACUUGAUCCCUGGAGAGGUCACAUAUCGCUCAACACCUGAGGGGGGCAAUAGAGAGAUGAGGGACAGACCCUGCUCAGAGCCACUCAGGUCUGUGUUUGGCCUGUCUCAGAGCUGUAUUUUCAAUCAAAUGGUCCACAGUGGAGCAUGCAGGUCGCUAAGUGAGAUUGUACUGCCAUCCAGCCGGAGUAGGCAGAGGAAGCUCAUGCCCAUCAUCGUCUCCACAGACACCAGAUUGGUAAUGGAAAUUGUGGAGAUGGUGAUGAAAGUCAUCAACUCCAGGCUAGCUCAGCUAAUGCUAAAUGUGGGUUGUAGUCAGGGAACUGAAGGUCAUGGCAGCAACUCAGCAAGCAUUCAGUUUGCUCAAGAAAUGCUGAGCAUGGCAACUGCAUCAAUGUAUGCCCACGCAAUGGAGCAUAUUGCGCACGGCUGCAAGUCCAGCAGUCGCCAGUCCAACAAGUCUCCACUUGAAUUAGCGGGGGAGAUGGAAGCCAUAUUGGGUCCUCUGGCUGGACAGGUAAUAGUCACCGUCAUCAAUAGUAUCCUCAGGACUAAAGACAACGGAAGAACUGAGCAGGAACGGACCACCCCUUUGAGUUACUUCCUUACUGCAGUUUCUGCUGAAAUUCAAAGCAUGGUAGUUCAAAGAUCUGCAAGUAGACAGUCCUCCAGGCAGUCCAUCAGUGACCACUUGAUGAAUAUCUCCAAGGGCAAGAUCGUGAAAGCCGUUCAAAUUAAAAUGUCACAACUCUAUGGCGAGUCUACCAAUGAAAGCUGCAUAUCAGCAACUCCAACAAUCCAGAGCCUGUCCAAGUGCUCAUCCAAAGAAUCCCUUUGUGAUUGGACUCUCACCUCAGAUGACGUGCAUCCAGCUAAGUUCCUGUCUAGCAACAGAAUUACAGCGUUGUCGACUGAUGUUGUGGAUGUUGUGUUUGGUGAUGUUUUUUAUAAUCUUGGACUUUCGGACAGCCAAACACAUUUAAGGCCACAGUGCACCGGCUCCAGCUCAUCAAUAGACAUCAGCGGUGUUGCUGGGGAGAUGGUCAGACAAGUCUCUGUAAAACUCCAGUCCUUUGCGUCCGAGAGCAGUCUGGAGGCCAUGUCCAUGACUCACGACUCACCAUCUUUGUCCAUCUCAGACUCUGACUUGAAGUUCUUGUGCUCUCACUCAGCGGUUGCUGUAGCAACUGCCUGCCAAGCAAUUAAAACUGAGCUUGAGAUUGAGAUGAGUCUCAACCCAGCCACAGAGGCCGGCUCCCAGGGUAACCUUGCUGCCAGAGACCUGGUAUCUUCUCUGUCACAGAGUCUUGAGGAUAUAGAUGUUUCUCAUAUCAUUCAGGGCCUUAAGGAGGCAGAUGUGACAUUUGCCAAUCUGAACAAAACCCCUUCGACCGACACUAAUAGAUUAGAGGAAAUCUUAUCUGCCCAUAUUUCCCCUGAAAGUAUUGCAGCGGCAUCGGUUGAUCUUUUUGAUGGCGUAUUAGGAGACUUGCAUGAGGCAUUUGAGGCAAAUAAGGUCUCAGCAGCCACAAAAUCUGGUCGCAAAAAGUUCUGGGUUGAAGUACAUACAAGUUCACAAAACCUGUACACCAAUGCGCUGGACAAACUAAAUAAGUGGUUCAGUUUACACCAUCUCACUAAUGAAAAAGAUGUUCCUCUGAAUACCAAGCUCUCUGCAACUGGACCACUCCUAACUGAGGCCUGUGUGGAGGUAUCUCCUGUGCAAAAGACCAGUAUUAACAGCUCUGGUAUGUCCUUCAGGUCUCUGAGUGAUAUCUCAGACAACCAGCUAACCCUCAACACAUGCACUAAAGAGGUAAUCAAACAGGUGGCCUCAGUUCUGAAGUUUGAGGCUUCUAAGGAAGACUGUUCUUCUUCCGUUGGAGGGAGGACAUUAAAUGUGUUCUUGGAGUUCAGCCAGAAGUUGGAUGCUCUCAUCUCAAAGUUGGAGGACCUCCCCAUUUCAGGUGAGAUUUCCUCGCUCACACAGCCACAAAGUGCAGUCAGCAGCAGCAGAACCUCUAAUAUUUCCAUCAGGAGUAUCCUAAGUGUGGAGUUCUACACAAAGGCCAACCAGAUCGUGAGUGAGGCUAUCCUUGGAGCUGCAAUUGUUUUCUAUGCUCGCAAAGCCAACCAUUUGGAGCUGAAUAUGCCUGCUACCUAUUCACAACAUCUGUUUGCAGCCACCUCAGACAUUGUGAACAUUAUUGUGGAAGACCUAGAGAGAGAGACCAUGGAUACAGAGUCCCACCUCAUACCUAAAAUAGUUUUUGACAAGUUCCUGGAUGCGGCUCACAACAUCUACUACCAAGUGCGGGAUAGGCUGAAGGUCUUCUUCUCCAUGUCCUCAGUGCCUGCCUCCAAAACCAAAGAUGUGGUGGAUUCCAUGCCUGUGGAGAAACAUGGAUACUUUGAGGCCUCUGACACUGCUCAUGACCCGGAGCGACCUCAAUCUGUCAGGAGUGAGAAGUUGUUGACAAAAGACAGUUUAGCCAAGAUAGAAAGGUCUAAAUCCCUUGCGUCUCGGGGUGGCACAUCAACAGAAAAUCAAGACUUUGACACCUUCACAUUGACACCCACCAAGAGCAUGUCAGUGUUGAGUGAUCACAGUUUGAGAGGAGAUUUUUCUCUCUUGAGUGAAAGUUGCCAACCACUUUUGGCUCUCCAAGACUCAACAGUGGCAGUCACUAAGCAUAGCUUCACCAAGUCUGCUAAGACCACCCUCAGCCAGAUCCUAAAUGUGAUCAAGUGCAGAGUGGCUGCCUCAGAUAAUUCAUCUGUUGGACAGAAGACAACUGACAUGUUGGACUCUCUUCUUGAGAGCCUUGACCAGUUGACUGCAGAUGAGAUAAAGGGGACAGCGUCCCACAGCUUGAUCACAGUAGAUGUGCCAGAGUCACUAUCUAAGCAAUCCUUGACAAAAUACUUUUCUACUCAUGAGAGGAACCAGGAUUCUUCCCCUGCAAAGCUUGUGUGUCAACCAUCAUGCCUGAUACCAACAUCCAUGUCUGACACCAACAUUAUAGUGCAAACUAUAAUGGAAACGCUGGUGAAGGACGAAUCAAAGAAGACUUCAGCAGAGGAAAACCUUGAGAGGCUCGUCUCCAUUGAAACCAUUCAAGGUGUGUCAGACGACCUCAUCACAAAGGUCCAUGGUCUCAUUCAGGAGAUCACAAUAAGCCGGCAACUUCAAUCCAUGGCUGGCCACAGGAGCUUCUCUGAACCGGCAUUGCCAAAGCCAGCCCUAAAAAAGCUGUCAAGGAAUGAUGCCUCUGAGCUCGCCUACAGCUUUGCCGAAAAUUCUGUUAGGACUCUCCUGGGGCAGUGCUUAGAUGUGUCGUCCUUUUCCACUGGAGUAAGGCAGACGAUGGAUCAGGUCACUAAGAUAAUGACUAACACAGUGAUGGACACCCUGACUGAUGAGUCCAAGCCCACAGUGAAGUCAGAGGAUGAAUUAGUUUCCAGGUUAGUCCAACCAGAUGAAUUCCCCACGAGGAGCCUUAACCCAUCUGAUGGCAACGCUGAUGUGAUGCCUCGCUCUGCUGGAGGUGAAAAGAAUAGCAAGAAGUGGCGUUUCCUUUUCAAAAUGCCUAGCAUCCCGAAGAUCAGGAUCAAGGUGUUCAAGAGAAAAGGACAAUCCAAGAAGCACCCUGAACUGGAAGCGCUGCCAACAAAACGUUUCAGUGAUAUGUCACUGAAGGUUCCUUCCGCCUUCCCACCCAUGGAGGACCUGAUACCUGCACCUACUGCACAGAAUCCCCAAUCCCGUAAACGCCCCUUUGUGGUUAGGGUGUUUCGGGCCCUCUCUCGAGCCAUCACCAGUGCCUUCAGAGGAGCUUCAGGGAAGAAGCACUAGAUAAGUGCUUGAUUUUAAUAAACAUUACUGCA
This 7053-nucleotide long non-coding RNA is filed under the name Salmo salar (Atlantic salmon). RNAcentral describes it as "lncRNA (ENSSSAG00000086812.1, ENSSSAG00000100632.1)". Lineage: Eukaryota; Metazoa; Chordata; Actinopteri; Salmoniformes; Salmonidae. The record is from RNAcentral.